ACACAGGUGGUCGGGUAGAGAAUACCAAGGCGCUUGAGAGAACUCGGGUGAAGGAACUAGGCAAAAUGGCACCGUAACUUCGGGAGAAGGUGCGCCGGCUAGGGUGAAGGAUUUACUCCGUAAGCUCUGGCUGGUCGAAGAUACCAGGCCGCUGCGACUGUUUAUUAAAAACACAGCACUCUGCAAACACGAAAGUGGACGUAUAGGGUGUGACGCCUGCCCGGUGCCGGAAGGUUAAUUGAUGGGGUUAGCGCAAGCGAAGCUCUUGAUCGAAGCCCCGGUAAACGGCGGCCGUAACUAUAACGGUCCUAAGGUAGCGAAAUUCCUUGUCGGGUAAGUUCCGACCUGCACGAAUGGCGUAACGAUGGCGGCGCUGUCUCCACCCGAGACUCAGUGAAAUUGAAAUCGCUGUGAAGAUGCAGUGUAUCCGCGGCUAGACGGAAAGACCCCGUGAACCUUUACUGUAGCUUUGCACUGGACUUUGAGCCUGCUUGUGUAGGAUAGGUGGGAGGCUUUGAAGCGUGGACGCCAGUUCGCGUGGAGCCAUCCUUGAAAUACCACCCUGGCAUGCUUGAGGUUCUAACUCUGGUCCGUGAUCCGGAUCGAGGACAGUGUAUGGUGGGCAGUUUGACUGGGGCGGUCUCCUCCUAAAGAGUAACGGAGGAGUACGAAGGUGCGCUCAGACCGGUCGGAAAUCGGUCGCAGAGUAUAAAGGCAAAAGCGCGCUUGACUGCGAGACAGACACGUCGAGCAGGUACGAAAGUAGGUCUUAGUGAUCCGGUGGUUCUGUAUGGAAGGGCCAUCGCUCAACGGAUAAAAGGUACUCCGGGGAUAACAGGCUGAUACCGCCCAAGAGUUCAUAUCGACGGCGGUGUUUGGCACCUCGAUGUCGGCUCAUCACAUCCUGGGGCUGAAGCCGGUCCCAAGGGUAUGGCUGUUCGCCAUUUAAAGUGGUACGCGAGCUGGGUUUAGAACGUCGUGAGACAGUUCGGUCCCUAUCUGCCGUGGACGUUUGAGAUUUGAGAGGGGCUGCUCCUAGUACGAGAGGACCGGAGUGGACGAACCUCUGGUGUUCCGGUUGUCACGCCAGUGGCAUUGCCGGGUAGCUAUGUUCGGAAAAGAUAACCGCUGAAAGCAUCUAAGCGGGAAACUUGCCUCAAGAUGAGAUCUCACUGGGAACUUGAUUCCCCUGAAGGGCCGUCGAAGACUACGACGUUGAUAGGCUGGGUGUGUAAGCGUUGUGAGGCGUUGAGCUAACCAGUACUAAUUGCCCGUGAGGCUUGACCAU
Molecule: ribosomal RNA, 1288 nt
Filed under: Pseudomonas aeruginosa
Lineage: Bacteria; Pseudomonadati; Pseudomonadota; Gammaproteobacteria; Pseudomonadales; Pseudomonadaceae
Description: partial 23S ribosomal RNA
Rfam family: Bacterial large subunit ribosomal RNA
Source: RNAcentral